GAGUACGGCCGCAAGGCUGAAACUUAAAGGAAUUGGCAGGGGAGCACUACAACGGGUGGAGCCUGCGGUUUAAUUGGACUCAACGCCGGAAAACUCACCGGGGGCGACAGCAAUAUGUAGGUCAGGUUAAAGGUCUUACCUGAAUCGCUGAGAGGAGGUGCAUGGCCGUCGUCAGUUCGUACUGUGAAGCAUCCUGUUAAGUCAGGCAACGAGCAAGACCCGUGCCCACUGUUACCAGCAUAUCCUUUAUGGAUGAUGGGGACUCUGUGGGGACCGCUGCUGCUAAAGCAGAGGAAGGUGCGGGCUACGGUAGGUCAGUAUGCCCCGAAUCUCCCGGGCUACACGCGGGCUACAAUGGUUGGGACAAUGGGUAUCUACUCCGAAAGGAGUUGGCAAUCUCUUAAACCCAAUCGUAGUUCGAAUUGAGGGCUGUAACUCGCCCUCAUGAAGCUGGAAUCCGUAGUAAUCGCGUUUCAACAUAGCGCGGUGAAUCUGUCCCUGCUCCUUGCACACACCGCCCGUCAAACCAUCCGAGUGAGGUAUGGGUGAGGGCACGAACUUAGUGUCGUGCUCGAACCUAAAUUUCGCAAGGAGGGUUAAGUCGUAACAAGGUAGCCGUAGGGGAAUCUGCGGCUGGAUCACCUCCU
RNAcentral lists this ribosomal RNA (647 nucleotides) under uncultured archaeon. RNAcentral describes it as "bacterial SSU rRNA". It matches the Rfam family "Archaeal small subunit ribosomal RNA", at positions 833 to 1478 of the family's 1478-position model. The record is from RNAcentral.